Molecule: ribosomal RNA, 433 nt
Filed under: uncultured bacterium
Lineage: Bacteria
Description: partial 16S ribosomal RNA
Rfam family: Bacterial small subunit ribosomal RNA
Source: RNAcentral
AGCGAACGCUGGCGGCAGGCCUAACACAUGCAAGUCGAACGAACUCUUCGGAGUUAGUGGCGGACGGGUGAGUAACACGUGGGAACGUGCCUUUAGGUUCGGAAUAACUCAGGGAAACUUGUGCUAAUACCGAAUGUGCCCUUCGGGGGAAAGAUUUAUCGCCUUUAGAGCGGCCCGCGUCUGAUUAGCUAGUUGGUGAGGUAAAGGCUCACCAAGGCGACGAUCAGUAGCUGGUCUGAGAGGAUGAUCAGCCACAUUGGGACUGAGACACGGCCCAAACUCCUACGGGAGGCAGCAGUGGGGAAUCUUGCGCAAUGGGCGAAAGCCUGACGCAGCCAUGCCGCGUGAAUGAUGAAGGCCUUAGGAUUGUAAAAUUCUUUCACCGGGGACGAUAAUGACGGUACCCGGAGAAGAAGCCCCGGCUAACUUCGUG